UUUCUGACUUUCUGAACAUGGACAUCAUCAAACAUGGUCUCGUCAGCUUGUUUCUAUUUCUGCUCUGGAUAAAAGGUCUAAUUGAUGGAAGUGGUGUCACCCAGACUGACAUACUGUGGAAAGACGAGGGUGACGAUGCAACGAUACACUGCAGCCACACCAAAGGUUUGCAGUACAGCCAGAUGUACUGGUACAGACAGCGGCAAGGAGAAACAAUGAAACUGAUCGUGUUCACAACAUAUGGCAAAGAAAAUCAUGACUUUGGAGAUUUUGACAAAGGGAAAUUUUCAGCCACCAAGCCUGACCUUGUGAGUGGGACAUUCACAGUGAAGAAUCUGCAGACAGAAGACAAAGGCUUGUAUUUCUGUGCUGUCAGUCAGCCCCACAGUGGCACAGUUAACUUGCAAGGCUGAACAAAAACCCCAGUACUGGGCUUUCUCUAAAUGUUGUGUAAUUACCCGACCACAUAGUUAUCACUGAAACUGCAUUACAACACAAAGAAGUUAAGAUUGUUUCACACUGUAAAAAUUCAGUUUUUGAGAUCUUUUGUUUUUAACGAGUUUCUGUUCUACCAAAUUUGGCUGUUUUGAUAAUAAACUAGCAUAUGGAUAUACCAUUGUUAUUUAGAUUUUUUAAAGAUUUUGUAACACACAGGCAUUUAUGGACCCUUAUGAGCUGAUAAGGGAAUAAUGAACAUAUUAAUCAAAAUUACUUAAAAGUAGGGCUGUCCCGAAUGCCAUUCUUUGUGCUUUGAAGAUUCGUUCGGGCUGUCA
This is a non-coding RNA of Sebastes umbrosus (honeycomb rockfish), 773 nucleotides long. The record is from the annotation of a RefSeq genome assembly. NCBI's taxonomy places the organism in Eukaryota, Metazoa, Chordata, Actinopteri, Perciformes, Sebastidae.